AUGUACUGGUAUUGAUGAUGUUAUAUGGCUGGUGUGCACGUGUGUCUGUGUUUGUGUUAAAGCAAUACGUCUCUCUGCAUCUGUGUGUUACUGUGUAUCUGUGUAUGUGUGUUUGUCAGCUGUUGGUUCUGGCCGGGCCCAUUUCUCCUCCCUGAUUGGAGAAAGCAGAGCAGAGGCUCUCUGUGUUCCCCCCAGGUUCAGGAGGCCUGAGGGAUGACAUACCCUGAAAUGAAGCAUACAGAAGAAGGACCUCCUUUCUGUAUCCCAUUAACAUCACCUCGUAAAAUGCUCCUACACGACACGAGCAAACUGACACCCAUGUGUUGGCUGGCUCAGCUUUCUGCAGGGAUGUCCUGGCCGGAGGGAAAUGCACCAUUUCCAGUGUGCUGUGAUAAUAGCUAAGUGCAAAUGAGACGUGUGGGACAGCAGGCGAUCUCAAAGAGCAGCUCGAGAUUCCACAGGUUUACAGUCUCAAACCGCAUGC
Cyprinus carpio carpio is the source of this 484-nucleotide long non-coding RNA. The record is from Ensembl. Lineage: Eukaryota; Metazoa; Chordata; Actinopteri; Cypriniformes; Cyprinidae.